AGAGUUUGAUCCUGGCUCAGGAUGAACGCUGGCGGCGUGCCUAAUACAUGCAAGUCGAACGAGAAUCUCUUGUAUUCGUACGAGAAAAUUCUAGUGGCGAACGGGUGAGUAACGCGUUGGUGACCUGCCCCGAAGUGGGUGAUAACAGACCGAAAGGUUUGCUAAUACCCCAUGUGCUUAUUUGGGUUAGAGGCCUAAUAAGUAAAGGUUUUAAUCGCUUCGGGAGGGGCCUGCGUCCCAUCAGCUAGUAGGUAAGGUAAUGGCUUACCAAGGCUAUGACGGGUAGGGGACCUGAGAGGGUGACCCCCCACACUGGUACUGAAACACGGACCAGACACCUACGGGUGGCAGCAGUAGGGAAUAUUGGACAAUGGGCGAAAGCCUGAUCCAGCAACGCCGCGUGCGGGAUGACGGCCUUCGGGUUGUAAACCGCUUUUCUGAGGGAAGAGAAAGGACUGUACCUCAGGAAUAAGUCUCGGCUAACUACGUGCCAGCAGCCGCGGUAACACGUAGGAGGCAAGCGUUAUCCGGAUUUACUGGGCGUAAAGCGCGUGCAGGCGGUUUGGUAAGUUGGAUGUGAAAUCUCCCGGCCUAACUGGGAGGUGUCGUUCAAAACUGCCAGGCUAGAGGACGGUAGAGGAAGGUGGAAUUCUCGGUGUAGUGGUGAAAUGCGUAGAUAUCGAGAGGAACACCAGUGGCGAAGGCGGCCUUCUGGGCCGUUCCUGACGCUCAGACGCGAAAGCGUGGGUAGCGAACGGGAUUAGAAACCCCGGUAGUCCACGCUGUAAACGAUGUGAACUUGGUGUUGGUGGCGUAAAAACCAUCAGUGCCGUAGCUAACGCGAUAAGUUCACCGCCUGGGGACUACGAUCGCAAGAUUAAAACUCAAAGGAAUUGACGGGGACCCGCACAAGCAGCGGAGCGUGUGGUCUAAUUCGAGCUACGCGAAGAACCUUACCUGGGCUUGACAUAUAGGUGAAGGGAUCCGAAAGGUGACCGUCCCUCGGGACGCUUAUACAGGUGCUGCAUGGCUGUCGUCAGCUCGUGUCGUGAGAUGUCCGGUUAAGUCCGGUAACGAGCGCAACCCUCGCCGUAUGUUACAAGUGUCAUACGGGACUGCCGGUAUAAAACCGGAGGAAGGUGAGGAUGACGUCAAGUCAGCAUGGCCUUUAUGCCCAGGGCUACACACACGCUACAAUGGUCGGUACAAUAGGUUGCAAAGCCGCGAGGUGGAGCCAAUCCCCAAAGCCGAUCUCAGUUCGGAUUGCAGGCUGCAACUCGCCUGCAUGAAGUCGGAGUUGCUAGUAACCGCGCGUCAGCACAGUGCGGUGAAUACGUUCCCGGGUCUUGUACACACCGCCCGUCACGUCAUGGGAGCUGGUAACACCUAAAGUCGAUAGCCUAACCCUAACGGGAGGGCGUUGCCUAGGGUGGGACUGGUGACUGGGACGAAGUCGUAACAAGGUA
This 1466-nucleotide ribosomal RNA is filed under the name metagenome. Its description in RNAcentral is "bacterial SSU rRNA". It matches the Rfam family "Bacterial small subunit ribosomal RNA". The record is from RNAcentral.